RNAcentral lists this long non-coding RNA (570 nucleotides) under Trifolium pratense (red clover). RNAcentral's name for it is "long non-coding RNA (TPRA_LNC006788)". The record is from RNAcentral. Lineage: Eukaryota; Viridiplantae; Streptophyta; Magnoliopsida; Fabales; Fabaceae.
UUAUGUAACUGGAAGACUUUUAUUAUAUAUUAUAUUUUUUUUUUAUAUUAGACAGACAAUCAAGAUUACUCAUGUGUCCAUUGUUUUCAGGCAUAUCAUGAUUGGAAUGUUUGUUACAAUUAUUUAACAAUGGUUUAAUAAAAUAUAUAUUUAUUUGACUAUACUAAAUUUCCAUAAACCAUUACUAUAGGGAUGGUGGGAAGUAUUUAAAAUACAUAGGUUAGUGUCCAUAAUAAUUGUAACCAUCCAUUGAUUUUUUGUUGUUGUGAUUGUUGGGAUCGUCCUUUGUUCUUGUUACUUUCCCCUUUGAAGUAGCUUCAUGGUAUAAAAAACCAGCUGCAACAAAUAUUUUGAUUAUCAAAGCCAUUGUUAGAAUUUGUUAGAUUAGAUGUUGCAACAAUAAAAUAACAACGGAGUAGAUGAAAAUAAUUAUUGUUACACUUAUAAAUUUUAAAGCACGUAUACUACACUAAUUUUAGGUUCGAUUAGUUCCACCAAUAAAUGGAAAAACAAUAUAAAUCGACUUAAAUAUACUUUGAAAUCUUGUCUGGGUACAUUGCACCCCCAAUC